Molecule: transfer RNA, 69 nt
Filed under: Rattus norvegicus (Norway rat)
Lineage: Eukaryota; Metazoa; Chordata; Mammalia; Rodentia; Muridae
Also listed under: 1 other name
Rfam family: tRNA
About the family: Transfer RNA (tRNA) molecules are approximately 80 nucleotides in length. Their secondary structure includes four short double-helical elements and three loops (D, anti-codon, and T loops).
Source: Rfam by way of RNAcentral
GGGGAUUUAGCUCAGUGGUAGAGCGCUUGCCUAGCAAGCACAAGGCUCUGGGUUCGGUCCUCAGCUCCA